This 1308-nucleotide ribosomal RNA is filed under the name Chryseobacterium wanjuense. RNAcentral describes it as "bacterial SSU rRNA". It matches the Rfam family "Bacterial small subunit ribosomal RNA", at positions 88 to 1403 of the family's 1533-position model. The record is from RNAcentral. Lineage: Bacteria; Pseudomonadati; Bacteroidota; Flavobacteriia; Flavobacteriales; Weeksellaceae.
AGAGAGAGCGGCGUACGGGUGCGGAACACGUGUGCAACCUGCCUUUAUCAGGGGGAUAGCCUUUCGAAAGGAAGAUUAAUACCCCAUAAUAUUUAAGAUGGCAUCAUUUUAAAUUGAAAACUACGGUGGAUAAAGAUGGGCACGCGCAAGAUUAGAUAGUUGGUGAGGUAACGGCUCACCAAGUCAGUGAUCUUUAGGGGGCCUGAGAGGGUGAUCCCCCACACUGGUACUGAGACACGGACCAGACUCCUACGGGAGGCAGCAGUGAGGAAUAUUGGACAAUGGGUGAGAGCCUGAUCCAGCCAUCCCGCGUGAAGGACGACGGCCCUAUGGGUUGUAAACUUCUUUUGUAUAGGGAUAAACCUAGAUACGUGUAUCUAGCUGAAGGUACUAUACGAAUAAGCACCGGCUAACUCCGUGCCAGCAGCCGCGGUAAUACGGAGGGUGCAAGCGUUAUCCGGAUUUAUUGGGUUUAAAGGGUCCGUAGGCGGAUCAGUAAGUCAGUGGUGAAAUCUCAUAGCUCAACUAUGAAACUGCCAUUGAUACUGUUGGUCUUGAGUAAGGUAGAAGUAGCUGGAAUAAGUAGUGUAGCGGUGAAAUGCAUAGAUAUUACUUAGAACACCAAUUGCGAAGGCAGGUUACUAUGUCUUAACUGACGCUGAUGGACGAAAGCGUGGGGAGCGAACAGGAUUAGAUACCCUGGUAGUCCACGCUGUAAACGAUGCUAACUCGUUUUUGGGUUUUCGGGUUCAGAGACUAAGCGAAAGUGAUAAGUUAGCCACCUGGGGAGUACGAACGCAAGUUUGAAACUCAAAGGAAUUGACGGGGGCCCGCACAAGCGGUGGAUUAUGUGGUUUAAUUCGAUGAUACGCGAGGAACCUUACCAAGGCUUAAAUGGGAAUUGAUCGGUUUAGAAAUAGACCUUCCUUCGGGCAAUUUUCAAGGUGCUGCAUGGUUGUCGUCAGCUCGUGCCGUGAGGUGUUAGGUUAAGUCCUGCAACGAGCGCAACCCCUGUUACUAGUUGCUACCAUUAAGUUGAGGACUCUAGUAAGACUGCCUACGCAAGUAGAGAGGAAGGUGGGGAUGACGUCAAAUCAUCACGGCCCUUACGCCUUGGGCCACACACGUAAUACAAUGGCCGGUACAGAGGGCAGCUACACAGCGAUGUGAUGCAAAUCUCGAAAGCCGGUCUCAGUUCGGAUUGGAGUCUGCAACUCGACUCUAUGAAGCUGGAAUCGCUAGUAAUCGCGCAUCAGCCAUGGCGCGGUGAAUACGUUCCCGGGCCUUGUACACACCGCCCGUCAAGCC